AAACCCACAAAUGUUUGACCAAAACCCAGGGGAUCGUCCCCAUCUAAACCAAAGGCCACAAAAAUUACAACAGCCUUGGAUCAGAUUGAGGAUACGACACGACACCGUAGCUGCAAACUACAAUAUCUAGCAUCUUAAACAAGCAGUAGCGCCACUAGAAGUUUAGGAAAACAGCAGGAGAUGGUGGAAUGUAUUCAAAGUGCUGCCAGUCAACCAUAUCCAUGUGUACUCGCGUCAAUGACCAUAGAAUUACAACAAUAUCGAUAAAUCUCCCCCUCGUUUCUAACUCCUUUGGGGUAGGAAUCACUCGACGAAAAGCUAUUUGAUG
This 328-nucleotide unclassified non-coding RNA is filed under the name Hevea brasiliensis (rubber tree). The record is from RNAcentral. Lineage: Eukaryota; Viridiplantae; Streptophyta; Magnoliopsida; Malpighiales; Euphorbiaceae.